This 254-nucleotide ribosomal RNA is filed under the name uncultured bacterium. Its description in RNAcentral is "partial 16S ribosomal RNA". It matches the Rfam family "Bacterial small subunit ribosomal RNA", at positions 524 to 776 of the family's 1533-position model. The record is from RNAcentral.
UACGUAGGGGGCGAGCGUUGUCCGCAGUUACUGGGCGUAAAGCGCGCGUAGGCGGGUCUUUAAGUGAGGGGUGAAAGGUUCAGGGCUCAACCCGGACACUGCCUUUCAUACUGGGGACCUUGAGUGCGGGAGGGGCGAGUGGAAUGGUCGGUGUAGCGGUGAAAUGCGUAGAUAUCGAUCGGAACACCCAUGGCGAAGGCAGCUCGCUGGCCUGCAACUGACGCUGAGGCGCGAAAGCGCGGGGAGCAAACAGG